GAUGAACGCUGGCGGCGUGCCUAAUACAUGCAAGUCGAGCGAACGGACGAGAAGCUUGCUUCUCUGAUGUUAGCGGCGGACGGGUGAGUAACACGUGGAUAACCUACCUAUAAGACUGGGAUAACUUCGGGAAACCGGAGCUAAUACCGGAUAAUAUUUUGAACCGCAUGGUUCAAAAGUGAAAGACGGUCUUGCUGUCACUUAUAGAUGGAUCCGCGCUGCAUUAGCUAGUUGGUAAGGUAACGGCUUACCAAGGCAACGAUGCAUAGCCGACCUGAGAGGGUGAUCGGCCACACUGGAGGUGAGACGCGGUCCAGACUCCUACGGGAGGCCGCAGUAGGGAAUCUUCCGCAAUGGGCGAAAGCCUGACGGAGCAACGCCGCGUGAGUGAUGAAGGUCUUCGGAUCGUGAAACUCUGUUAUUAGUGAAGAACAGAUGUGUAAGUAACUGUGCACAGCUUGACGGUACCUAAUCAGAAAGCCACGGCUAACUACGUG
Molecule: ribosomal RNA, 497 nt
Filed under: uncultured bacterium
Lineage: Bacteria
Description: partial 16S ribosomal RNA
Rfam family: Bacterial small subunit ribosomal RNA
Source: RNAcentral